UCGGACGGGUGAGUAACGCGUGAGAAUCUACCUUCAGGUUUGGGACAACCACUGGAAACGGUGGCUAAUACCGAAUGUGCCGAGAGGUGAAAGGCUUGCUGCCUGAAGAAGAGCUUGCGUCUGAUUAGCUAGUUGGUGGGGUAAGAGCCUACCAAGGCGACGAUCAGUAGCUGGUCUGAGAGGAUGAUCAGCCACACUGGGACUGAGACACGGCCCAGACUCCUACGGGAGGCAGCAGUGGGGAAUUUUCCGCAAUGGGCGAAAGCCUGACGGAGCAAUACCGCGUGAGGGAGGAAGGCUCUUGGGUUGUAAACCUCUUUUCUCAGGGAAGAAGAAAAUGACGGUACCUGAGGAAUAAGCAUCGGCUAACUCCGUGCCAGCAGCCGCGGUAAUACGGAGGAUGCAAGCGUUAUCCGGAAUGAUUGGGCGUAAAGGGUCCGCAGGUGGUAGUGUAAGUCUGCUGUUAAAGAGUCACGCUCAACGUGAUCAAAGCAGUGGAAACUACACAACUAGAGUACGGUAGGGGCAGAAGGAAUUCCUGGUGUAGCGGUGAAAUGCGUAGAUAUCAGGAAGAACACCGGUGGCGAAAGCGUUCUGCUAGACCUGUACUGACACUGA
RNAcentral lists this ribosomal RNA (618 nucleotides) under Cuspidothrix issatschenkoi LEGE 03282. Its description in RNAcentral is "bacterial SSU rRNA". It matches the Rfam family "Bacterial small subunit ribosomal RNA", at positions 98 to 749 of the family's 1533-position model. The record is from RNAcentral. Lineage: Bacteria; Bacillati; Cyanobacteriota; Cyanophyceae; Nostocales; Aphanizomenonaceae.